GACGUAGGGUGCAAGCGUUGUCCGGAUUUACUGGGCGUAAAGCGCGCGUAGGCGGUCUGUUAAGUGCACAAGUGAAAGCUCCGGGCUCAACUCGGAAAUUGCUUUGCAUACUGGCAGGCUGGAGGGACGCAGAGGUCUGUGGAAUUCCUGGUGUAACGGUGAAAUGUGUUGAUAUCAGGAGGAACACCCAUGGCGAAGGCAGCAGACUGGGCGUUUCCUGACGCUGAGGCGCGAAAGCGUGGGUAGCAAACAGG
Molecule: ribosomal RNA, 254 nt
Filed under: uncultured bacterium
Lineage: Bacteria
Also listed under: 1 other name
Description: partial 16S ribosomal RNA
Rfam family: Bacterial small subunit ribosomal RNA
Source: RNAcentral